RNAcentral lists this non-coding RNA (29 nucleotides) under Rattus norvegicus (Norway rat). The record is from RNAcentral. Lineage: Eukaryota; Metazoa; Chordata; Mammalia; Rodentia; Muridae.
UCCAAUACCCUUGGCAUGCCUGGAGAUAU